Molecule: ribosomal RNA, 1441 nt
Filed under: uncultured organism
Description: SSU rRNA
Rfam family: Bacterial small subunit ribosomal RNA
Source: RNAcentral
CAGGCUUAACACAUGCAAGUCGAGGGGCAGCAUGGUCUUAGCUUGCUAAGGCCGAUGGCGACCGGCGCACGGGUGAGUAACACGUAUCCAACCUGCCGUCUACUCUUGGACAGCCUUCUGAAAGGAAGAUUAAUACAAGAUGGCAUCAUGAGUCCGCAUGUUCACAUGAUUAAAGGUAUUCCGGUAGACGAUGGGGAUGCGUUCCAUUAGAUAGUAGGCGGGGUAACGGCCCACCUAGUCUUCGAUGGAUAGGGGUUCUGAGAGGAAGGUCCCCCACAUUGGAACUGAGACACGGUCCAAACUCCUACGGGAGGCAGCAGUGAGGAAUAUUGGUCAAUGGGCGAGAGCCUGAACCAGCCAAGUAGCGUGAAGGAUGACUGCCCUAUGGGUUGUAAACUUCUUUUAUAAAGGAAUAAAGUCGGGUAUGGAUACCCGUUUGCAUGUACUUUAUGAAUAAGGAUCGGCUAACUCCGUGCCAGCAGCCGCGGUAAUACGGAGGAUCCGAGCGUUAUCCGGAUUUAUUGGGUUUAAAGGGAGCGUAGAUGGAUGUUUAAGUCAGUUGUGAAAGUUUGCGGCUCAACCGUAAAAUUGCAGUUGAUACUGGAUAUCUUGAGUGCAGUUGAGGCAGGCGGAAUUCGUGGUGUAGCGGUGAAAUGCUUAGAUAUCACGAAGAACUCCGAUUGCGAAGGCAGCCUGCUAAGCUGCAACUGACAUUGAGGCUCGAAAGUGUGGGUAUCAAACAGGAUUAGAUACCCUGGUAGUCCACACGGUAAACGAUGAAUACUCGCUGUUUGCGAUAUACUGCAAGCGGCCAAGCGAAAGCGUUAAGUAUUCCACCUGGGGAGUACGCCGGCAACGGUGAAACUCAAAGGAAUUGACGGGGGCCCGCACAAGCGGAGGAACAUGUGGUUUAAUUCGAUGAUACGCGAGGAACCUUACCCGGGCUUAAAUUGCAGAUGAAUUACGGUGAAAGCCGUAAGCCGCAAGGCAUCUGUGAAGGUGCUGCAUGGUUGUCGUCAGCUCGUGCCGUGAGGUGUCGGCUUAAGUGCCAUAACGAGCGCAACCCUUGUUGUCAGUUACUAACAGGUUCCGCUGAGGACUCUGACAAGACUGCCAUCGUAAGAUGUGAGGAAGGUGGGGAUGACGUCAAAUCAGCACGGCCCUUACGUCCGGGGCUACACACGUGUUACAAUGGGGGGUACAGAGGGCCGCUACCACGCGAGUGGAUGCCAAUCCCCAAAACCUCUCUCAGUUCGGACUGGAGUCUGCAACCCGACUCCACGAAGCUGGAUUCGCUAGUAAUCGCGCAUCAGCCACGGCGCGGUGAAUACGUUCCCGGGCCUUGUACACACCGCCCGUCAAGCCAUGGGAGCCGGGGGUACCUGAAGUGCGUAACCGCGAGGAGCGCCCUAGGGUAAAACUGGUGACUGGGGCUAAGUCG